AGUCGAGCGGCACGACACAUUGAACCUUCGGGGGAUUUGUUGGGCGGCGAGCGGCGGACGGGUGAGUAAUGCCUGGGAAAUUGCCCUGAUGUGGGGGAUAACCAUUGGAAACGAUGGCUAAUACCGCAUGAUAGCUUCGGCUCAAAGAGGGGGACCUUCGGGCCUCUCGCGUCAGGAUAUGCCCAGGUGGGAUUAGCUAGUUGGUGAGGUAAGGGCUCACCAAGGCGACGAUCCCUAGCUGGUCUGAGAGGAUGAUCAGCCACACUGGAACUGAGACACGGUCCAGACUCCUACGGGAGGCAGCAGUGGGGAAUAUUGCACAAUGGGCGCAAGCCUGAUGCAGCCAUGCCGCGUGUAUGAAGAAGGCCUUCGGGUUGUAAAGUACUUUCAGCAGUGAGGAAGAAGGUAUCGUUAAUAGCGGUAUCUUUUGACGUUAGCUGCAGAAGAAGCACCGGCUAACUCCGUGCCAGCAGCCGCGGUAAUACGGAGGGUGCGAGCGUUAAUCGGAAUUACUGGGCGUAAAGCGCAUGCAGGUGGUUUGUUAAGUCAGAUGUGAAAGCCCGGGGCUCAACCUCGGAAUUGCAUUUGAAACUGGCAGGCUAGAGUACUGUAGAGGGGGGUAGAAUUUCAG
This 631-nucleotide ribosomal RNA is filed under the name uncultured bacterium. Its description in RNAcentral is "bacterial SSU rRNA". It matches the Rfam family "Bacterial small subunit ribosomal RNA", at positions 60 to 672 of the family's 1533-position model. The record is from RNAcentral.